UACGUAGGGUGCAAACGUUGCUCGGAAUCAUUGGGCGUAAAGCGCACGUAGGCGGUUCGUUAUGUCGGAUGUGAAAGCCCUUGGCUUAACCGAGGAAGUGCAUCCGAAACUGGCGAGCUAGAGUACGAAAGAGGAUCGCGGAAUUCCCGGUGUAGAGGUGAAAUUCGUAGAUAUCGGGAGGAACACCGGUGGCGAAGGCGGCGAUCUGGGUCGAUACUGACGCUGAGGUGCGAAAGCGUUGGGGAGCAAACAGG
RNAcentral lists this ribosomal RNA (254 nucleotides) under uncultured bacterium. RNAcentral's name for it is "partial 16S ribosomal RNA". It matches the Rfam family "Bacterial small subunit ribosomal RNA", at positions 524 to 776 of the family's 1533-position model. The record is from RNAcentral.